This 400-nucleotide ribosomal RNA is filed under the name uncultured bacterium. Its description in RNAcentral is "partial 16S ribosomal RNA". It matches the Rfam family "Bacterial small subunit ribosomal RNA", at positions 360 to 776 of the family's 1533-position model. The record is from RNAcentral.
AAUACUGCACAAUGGGCGAAAGCCUGAUGCAGCAACGCCGCGUGAGCGAUGAAGGCCUUUGGGUCGUUAAGCUCUUUCCUUGGGGAAGAAUAAACGACGGUACCCUUGGAGGAAGCCCCGGCUACCUACGGCCCAGCAGCCGCGGUAAUACGUAGGGGGCAAGCGUUAUCCGGAAUUACUGGGCGUAAAGAGUGCGUAGGUGGUUUUGUAAGCGCGGUGUGAAAGGCAAUGGCUCAACCAUUGUAAGCCUUGCGAACUGCAAGACUUGAGUGCAGGAGAGGAAAGUGGAAUUCCUAGUGUAGCGGUGAAAUGCGUAGAUAUUAGGAGGAACACCAGUGGCGAAGGCGACUUUCUGGACUGUAACUGACACUGAGGCACGAAAGCGUGGGGAGCAAACAGG